This 1049-nucleotide ribosomal RNA is filed under the name Microthecium fusisporum. Its description in RNAcentral is "SSU rRNA". It matches the Rfam family "Eukaryotic small subunit ribosomal RNA", at positions 59 to 1123 of the family's 1831-position model. The record is from RNAcentral. Lineage: Eukaryota; Fungi; Ascomycota; Sordariomycetes; Coronophorales; Ceratostomataceae.
UCUAGUAUAGCAUUAUACAGCGAAACUGCGAAUGGCUCAUUAUAUAAGUUAUCGUUUAUUUGAUAGUGCCUUACUACUUGGAUAACCGUGGUAAUUCUAGAGCUAAUACAUGCUGAAAGCCCCGACUCACGGAGGGGCGUAUUUAUUAGAUUAAAAACCAAUGCCCUUCGGGGCUCCUUGGUGAUUCAUGAUAACUUCUCGAAUCGCACGGCCUUGCGCCGGCGAUGGUUCAUUCAAAUUUCUUCCCUAUCAACUUUCGAUGUUUGGGUAGUGGCCAAACAUGGUGGCAACGGGUAACGGAGGGUUAGGGCUCGACCCCGGAGAAGGAGCCUGAGAAACGGCUCCUACAUCCAAGGAAGGCAGCAGGCGCGCAAAUUACCCAAUCCCGACUCGGGGAGGUAGUGACAAUAAAUACUGAUGCAGGGCUCUUUAGGGUCUUGCAAUUGGAAUGAGUACAAUUUAAAUCCCUUAACGAGGAACAAUUGGAGGGCAAGUCUGGUGCCAGCAGCCGCGGUAACUCCAGCUCCAAUAGCGUAUAUUAAAGUUGUUGUGGUUAAAAAGCUCGUAGUUGAACCUUGGGCCUGGCCGUCCGGUCCGCCUCACCGCGUGCACUGGCACGGCCGGGCCUUCCCACCGCGGAAUCGCAUGCCCUUUACUGGGCGUGUCGGGGAAGCGGUACUUUUACUGUGAAAAAAUUAGAGUGCUCUAAGCAGGCCUAUGCUCGAAUACAUUAGCAUGGAAUAAUAGAAUAGGACAGGCGUUCUAUUUUGUUGGUUUCUAGGACGUCUGUAAUGAUUAACAGAAACAAUCGGGGGCGUCAGUAUUGCAUCGUCAGAGGUGAAAUUCUUAGAUCGACGCAAGACUAACUACUGCGAAAGCAUUCGCCAAGGGUGUUUUCAUUAAUCAGGAACGAAAGUUAGGGGAUCGAAGACGAUCAGAUACCGUCGUAGUCUUAACCAUAAACUAUGCCGACUAGGGAUCGGGCGGUGUUAAUUUUUGACCCGCUCGGCACCUUACGAGAAAUCUUAAGUGCUUGGGCUCCAGGGGAG